RNAcentral lists this ribosomal RNA (406 nucleotides) under uncultured bacterium. RNAcentral's name for it is "partial 16S ribosomal RNA". It matches the Rfam family "Bacterial small subunit ribosomal RNA", at positions 30 to 526 of the family's 1533-position model. The record is from RNAcentral.
AUUGAACGCUGGCGGCAGGCCUAACACAUGCAAGUCGAGCGAGCGGCGGACGGGUGAGUUAGGUCUGGGAAACUGCCUGAUGGAGGGGGAUAACUACUGGAAACGGUAGCUAAUACCGCAUACCAUGAGCUGUGCCCAGAUGGGAUUAGCUAGUAGGUGGGGUAAUGGCUCACCUAGGCGACGAUCCCUAGCUGGUCUGAGAGGAUGACCAGCCACACUGGAACUGAGACACGGUCCAGACUCCUACGGGAGGCAGCAGUGGGGAAUAUUGCACAAUGGGCGCAAGCCUGAUACAGCCAUGCCGCGUGUGUGAAGAAGGCCUUCGGAUUGUAAAGCACUUUAAGCGGGGAGGCGUUACUAGCAGAAGAAGCACCGGCUAACUCCGUGCCAGCAGCCGCGGUAAUUC